RNAcentral lists this ribosomal RNA (604 nucleotides) under uncultured bacterium. Its description in RNAcentral is "bacterial SSU rRNA". It matches the Rfam family "Bacterial small subunit ribosomal RNA", at positions 1 to 580 of the family's 1533-position model. The record is from RNAcentral.
UCGAUUAGAGUUUGAUUCUGGCUCAGAGCGAACGUUAGCGGCGGGCUUAACACAUGCAAGUCGAACGAGAAUGAGGGAGCAAUCCUUCUAGUACAGUGGCGGACGGGUGCGUAACACGUGGACAAUCUACCUUCCGGCGGGGGACAACAGUUCGAAAGGACUGCUAAUACCGCGUACGUCGGCGAGGGCUCCGGCCCUUGUCGAGAAAGAUGGCCAAUCCUUGGAAGCUGUCACCGGAAGAUGAGUCCGCGGCCCAUCAGGUAGUUGGUGAGGUAACGGCUCACCAAGCCUAAGACGGGUAGCUGGUCUGAGAGGAUGAUCAGCCACACUGGGACUGCGACACGGCCCAGACUCCUACGGGAGGCAGCAGUGGGGAAUAUUGGGCAAUGGGCGAAAGCCUGAUGCAGCAACGCCGCGUGAGUGAUGAAGGCCUUCGGGUCGUAAAGCUCUGUGGGGAGGGACGAACAAGCGCGUAUUAAACAAAUGCGUGCCCUGACGGUACCUCCUUAGCAAGCACCGGCUAACCAUGUGCCAGCAGCCGCGGUAAUACAUGGGGUGCAAACGUUGCUCGGAAUUAUUGGGCGUAAAGCGCGCGUAGGCGGUU